RNAcentral lists this ribosomal RNA (2918 nucleotides) under Proteus mirabilis. Its description in RNAcentral is "23S ribosomal RNA". It matches the Rfam family "Bacterial large subunit ribosomal RNA". The record is from RNAcentral. Lineage: Bacteria; Pseudomonadati; Pseudomonadota; Gammaproteobacteria; Enterobacterales; Morganellaceae.
GGGUUGUGAGGUUAAGCGAAUAAGCGUACACGGUGGAUGCCUAGGCAAUCAGAGGCGAUGAAGGACGUGCUAAUCUGCGAAAAGCGUCGGUAAGGUGAUAUGAACCGUUAUACCCGACGAUAUCCGAAUGGGGAAACCCAGUAUCCAAUGGAUACUAUCAUUAACUGAAUCCAUAGGUUAAUGAGGCGAACCGGGAGAACUGAAACAUCUCAGUACCCCGAGGAAAAGAAAUCAACCGAGAUUCCCCUAGUAGCGGCGAGCGAACGGGGAGCAGCCCAGAGUCUUAAUCAAUAGCAGUGUCAGGAGAACGGUCUGGAAAGUCCGGCAGUAAAGGGUGAUAGCCCCGUAUCUGAAGAUGCUGUUAUUGUGAACUCGACGAGUAGGGCGGGACACGUGUUAUCCUGUCUGAAUAUGGGGGGACCAUCCUCCAAGGCUAAAUACUCCUGAUUGACCGAUAGUGAACCAGUACCGUGAGGGAAAGGCGAAAAGAACCCCGGCGAGGAGUGAAAAGAACCUGAAACCGUGUACGUACAAGCAGUAGGAGCCUCUUUAUGGGGUGACUGCGUACCUUUUGUAUAAUGGGUCAGCGACUUAUAUUCUGUAGCAAGGUUAACCGUAUAGGGGAGCCGUAGGGAAACCGAGUCUUAACUGGGCGAAUGAGUUGCAGGGUAUAGACCCGAAACCCGGUGAUCUAUCCAUGGGCAGGUUGAAGGUUGGGUAACACUAACUGGAGGACCGAACCGACUAAUGUUGAAAAAUUAGCGGAUGACUUGUGGAUGGGGGUGAAAGGCCAAUCAAACCGGGAGAUAGCUGGUUCUCCCCGAAAGCUAUUUAGGUAGCGCCUCGUGAACUCAUCUUCGGGGGUAGAGCACUGUUUCGACUAGGGGGUCAUCCCGACUUACCAACUCGAUGCAAACUGCGAAUACCGAAGAAUGUUAUCACGGGAGACACACGGCGGGUGCUAACGUCCGUCGAAGAGGGAAACAACCCAGACCGCCAGCUAAGGUCCCAAAGUCAUGGUUAAGUGGGAAACGAAGUGGAAGGCUCAGACAGCCAGGAUGUUGGCUUAGAAGCAGCCAUCAUUUAAAGAAAGCGUAAUAGCUCACUGGUCGAGUCGGCCCGCGCGGAAGAUGUAACGGGGCUAAACCAUGCACCGAAGCUGCGGCAGCGACACGUAGUGUUGUUGGGUAGGGGAGCGUUCUGUAAGCCUGCGAAGGUGUACUGUGAGGUAUGCUGGAGGUAUCAGAAGUGCGAAUGCUGACAUAAGUAACGAUAAUGCGGGUGAAAAACCCGCACGCCGGAAGACCAAGGGUUCCUGUCCAACGUUAAUCGGGGCAGGGUGAGUCGACCCCUAAGGCGAGGCUGAAAAGCGUAGUCGAUGGGAAACGGGUUAAUAUUCCCGUACUGGUGGUAACUGCGAUGGGGGAACGGAGAAGGCUAGGUUGUCCGGGCGACGGUCGUCCCGGUUCAAGCAGGUAGGCAGAGUGAUUAGGCAAAUCCGGUCACUUAAUGCUGAGAUGUGAUGACGAACCACCAAGGUGGUGAAGCAAUUGAUGCCCCGCUUCCAGGAAAAGCCUCUAAGCUUCAGGUUACCAACAAUCGUACCCCAAACCGACACAGGUGGUCAGGUAGAGAAUACUCAGGCGCUUGAGAGAACUCGGGUGAAGGAACUAGGCAAAAUGGUGCCGUAACUUCGGGAGAAGGCACGCUGGCGGUAGGUAAAGUCCCUCGCGGACGGCGCUGAAGCCAGUCGAAGAUACCAGCUGGCUGCAACUGUUUAUUAAAAACACAGCACUGUGCAAACACGAAAGUGGACGUAUACGGUGUGACGCCUGCCCGGUGCUGGAAGGUUAAUUGAUGGGGUCAGCCGUAAGGCGAAGCUCCUGAUCGAAGCCCCAGUAAACGGCGGCCGUAACUAUAACGGUCCUAAGGUAGCGAAAUUCCUUGUCGGGUAAGUUCCGACCUGCACGAAUGGCGUAAUGAUGGCCAGGCUGUCUCCACCCGAGACUCAGUGAAAUUGAACUCGCUGUGAAGAUGCAGUGUACCCGCGGCAAGACGGAAAGACCCCGUGAACCUUUACUAUAGCUUGACACUGAACAUUGAGCCUUGAUGUGUAGGAUAGGUGGGAGGCUUUGAAGUGUGGACGCCAGUCUGCAUGGAGCCAACCUUGAAAUACCACCCUUUAACGUUUGAUGUUCUAACCUAGGCCCAUAAACUGGGUCGGGGACCGUGUCUGGUGGGUAGUUUGACUGGGGCGGUCUCCUCCUAAAGAGUAACGGAGGAGCACGAAGGUUGGCUAAGCAUGGUCGGACAUCAUGCUAGUGCAGUGCAAAGCCAGCUUGCUGCGAGAGUGACGGCUCGAGCAGGUACGAAAGUAGGUCUUAGUGAUCCGGUGGUUCUGAAUGGAAGGGCCAUCGCUCAACGGAUAAAAGGUACUCCGGGGAUAACAGGCUGAUACCGCCCAAGAGUUCAUAUCGACGGCGGUGUUUGGCACCUCGAUGUCGGCUCAUCACAUCCUGGGGCUGAAGUAGGUCCCAAGGGUAUGGCUGUUCGCCAUUUAAAGUGGUACGCGAGCUGGGUUUAGAACGUCGUGAGACAGUUCGGUCCCUAUUCGCCGUGGGCGUUGGAAGAUUGAGAGGUUGCUCCUAGUACGAGAGGACCGGAGUGAACGCACCACUGGUGUUCGGGUUGUCAUGCCAAUGGCAUUGCCCGGUAGCUAAGUGCGGAAGAGAUAACCGCUGAAAGCAUCUAAGCGGGAAACUUGCCUCGAGAUGAGUCUUCCCUGUCGCUUUAAGCGACCUAAAGGAACGUUUAAGACUAAGACGUUGAUAGGCUGGGUGUGUAAGCGUAGCGAUACGUUGAGCUAACCAGUACUAAUGAACCGUGAGGCUUAACCUGACAACACCGAAAGUGUUUUG